UGGGGAGCGUGGGGUAAACGGUGGAGUGGGACCCCUGACUCAUCUGGAGGAGAAGUGGAUCUUUUAGGGGUCUUAGAGCUGCUGCGUGUUGUCAAGGCAGCGAAGCGUUAGUGUCCGUACAGGCCCAUCCAUGCCAGCUGGUUACGAUCGGAGGAGAAUCCCAGGAGGAUGAGACCGAAAAGGCGUUGACCGGCGACACGCGCCGGAGCAGGCAGCCCUCACAUAAAGCAGCACAGCGUGCGGCGCCGAAACCUGGUCGGCCUAUGUGGGAUUGCCGGGGCCUCUUUGAAGUACCGAGCCGCGGCUGUUUCCUUUAGCUGCACUGCGUCGGGAGAGCCCCCUUGAAUGGAAACUGUGAGACUGCAGUUGAAGGUGAAGCACCCGAGUUCAGAGAGCGAGAGGAUCAGCCGGCGCGUGACUGACACAGAGCAGUGCACUCUGGGAGCUCAGGGUUUUGUCCCUGUGUAGACGCCGCGGCAGACUUACAUUUGUGGGAAUGUUUAAUGCUUUAAUGUAAGGUUCACAUGAGCGUGGCCUACAUAGUUUCUGUGUCUGGGAACUCAA
Long non-coding RNA from Gasterosteus aculeatus aculeatus (three-spined stickleback), 564 nucleotides. Lineage: Eukaryota; Metazoa; Chordata; Actinopteri; Perciformes; Gasterosteidae. The record is from Ensembl.